Molecule: ribosomal RNA, 253 nt
Filed under: uncultured bacterium
Lineage: Bacteria
Description: partial 16S ribosomal RNA
Rfam family: Bacterial small subunit ribosomal RNA
Source: RNAcentral
UACGUAGGGUGCGAGCGUUACUCGGAAUUACUGGGCGUAAAGCGUGCGCGGGCGGCUUUGCAAGACAGAUGUGAAAUCCCCGGGCUCAACCUGGGAACUGCAUUUGUGACUGCAAGGCUAGAGUACGGCAGAGGGGGAUGGAAUUCCGCGUGUAGCAGUGAAAUGCGUAGAUAUGCGGAGGAACACCAAUGGCGAAGGCAAUCCCCUGGGCCUGUACUGACGCUCAUGCACGAAAGCGUGGGGAGCAAACAGG